CUGGAGACAGGUGGCUGCAUGGCUGUCGUCAGCUCGUGUCGUGAGAUGUUGGGUUAAGUCCCGCAACGAGCGCAACCCUGCCUUUAGUUGCCAGCAGUUCGGCUGGGCACUCUAAAGGGACUGCCGGUGUUAAACCGGAGGAAGGUGGGGAUGACGUCAAGUCCUCAUGGCCUUUAUGACCAGGGCUACACACGUACUACAAUGGCCGAUACAAAGGGCAGCGACACUGCGAGGUGAAGCCAAUCCCGUAAAAUCGGUCUCAGUCCGGAUUGGAGUCUGCAACUCGACUCCAUGAAGUUGGAAUCGCUAGUAAUCGUGGAUCAGCAUGCCACGGUGAAUACGUUCCCGGGCCUU
This 354-nucleotide ribosomal RNA is filed under the name uncultured Desulfobulbus sp. RNAcentral's name for it is "bacterial SSU rRNA". It matches the Rfam family "Bacterial small subunit ribosomal RNA", at positions 1028 to 1382 of the family's 1533-position model. Lineage: Bacteria; Pseudomonadati; Thermodesulfobacteriota; Desulfobulbia; Desulfobulbales; Desulfobulbaceae. The record is from RNAcentral.